AUUGAUUGGCAUCAAUUGAUAUUGAAAGCUCCGGCGGAUAGAGAUGGGCACGCGCAAGAUUAGCUAGUUGGUGAGGUAACGGCUCACCAAGGCGAUGAUCUUUAGGGGGCCUGAGAGGGUGAUCCCCCACACUGGUACUGAGACACGGACCAGACUCCUACGGGAGGCAGCAGUGAGGAAUAUUGGUCAAUGGGUGCAAGCCUGAACCAGCCAUCCCGCGUGAAGGACGACUGCCCUAUGGGUUGUAAACUUCUUUUGUAUAGGGAUAAACCUACCCUCGUGAGGGUAGCUGAAGGUACUAUACGAAUAAGCACCGGCUAACUCCGUG
RNAcentral lists this ribosomal RNA (328 nucleotides) under uncultured bacterium. RNAcentral's name for it is "bacterial SSU rRNA". It matches the Rfam family "Bacterial small subunit ribosomal RNA", at positions 180 to 507 of the family's 1533-position model. The record is from RNAcentral.